CAGCCCCUAAAAGAUGAAAGGGAUGCUGGGGAGAUGGCUGAGGGCGUGAGGUGCUGACCCUGCAAGCGUGCCAACCUGAGUUCGAUCUCCAAACCCACAUGAAGAUGGAAGGAGAGAACCGACCGCCACAUGGAGGGAUAAUCUCCUGUGUACUGUGUGGAAGGAUCGCCUGCCAAUCAAAAUCUGACGGCUAAUAAGCUGAGGCAGGAUGGGAAGGUGGGACAUCCGGUGGGGAGAGCGAGAGAAAGGAAUGCUGGGAAAGAGUUGGGCACAGGGAACUGCCAUUCAGACUCGGGAGAAGUUGAAUGUAUGAAACUGGGGAGAGGUGACCGCCAUAUGGCAGACAUAGACGAAUAUAUAUGGGGAUAAUUGAGUUACGAACUACUCGGGGAACAAGCCUAGCUUAUGGCCUAGGCAUUUAUUCAUACAUAAUCUCUCUGGAUCAUUAUUCAGCAACUGUAACAACAUAACAUUUAAGGAUCAAGGGAACACCCGCUGCUCCUCAGAGCCACAUUGUGCUUCUAGCCCUGUGACUGCUGUUAAUACGUAACAAGUCACCAAUGUGUUAAAAAACAGUUUACCUUGUUUAAAAAAUAUUCUCCGUCAAAGAGAUAUGGAAACUGACAUCAUUAAAUUCAUUUAACCUCUGCCUGUGGGAGGCUGCCCUGAAGGCUGCAGAUGUUCAUAGAUUCAAAUGGUGAGCUUCAGUUUCCUGUCUCUGCCUCUGCCUAAUCACAAAUUCUAAUGUUUCCCCCUACUCUAGAAGUCACUGAUGGAUAUGACCCCAGGCUAGACCAGUUGUCUUGGACAGGGGACUGUGAGACAAAGCACAGCUUUCCUCUUUUGGUUUCCCCUUUGCUACCCCAGUCCAUGGCCUUCCAUGUUUGUAUUGUAUAUGGAGAAGAUAUUUGUAUAUGGACAAAAGUCAGGUCAGCCUUUCUCUACUCUUCCCAAUAGUUUAUUCAUGUGACACAAAUUAAUUAACACCAUGAGGUCAAAACUAGCAGAGGGACUUUUAGUUCAAAGGGCAAAUGUGUACAUUUCCAACUAGGAAAUGACCUUAUUACACCAGACUCCAAGACAUUGCUGAGAAAAUGUAUGUAUGCAGUCCCUGGGAUAGAAGAACCUUUCCAUUAACAAGAAUAAAAUAAAGAUACAUACACUUCUGAAUUAGCAAUAUGAAGAAAGAGAGGAAGGAAGAAAGAGAGAAAGAAAGAAGAAAAAAGAGAUGAGGAGAGUUCUGGAAGGCUAAGUAACUGCCAUCGUGGACAUAGCCUUCAAGCGUACUUAGGUCUGUCUGCUUCAAAGGCCACCCCUUGGAUCCCUGUGCCAUGUCUUAACAGGUGCUUGAAAGUUGUCGCCACAAAGCUUUCAAACGCAAACAGUGGGCAAACUCACCUGUCUCUGAGAUCAUGAUGUUGUCGUUGUGCCUGUCACCUAUCCCAAGAACAAAUGUGGCCACACAGUAGCCUGCACAGGAGUAAACGAACCUUUCCACUGCUGCCUGAAACUGAUGAGAACGGAUGUGAAUGUUGAUGGCUUUCCAGCUACAGAGAGCAGCCAAGUCAACGACAAGGCCUCCCACAAGGACAGUGCCCUAGGAGCCAUUUCAGACAGCAAGAAGUUUGGGUCCUUAGUUUUAUAUCAAGGAAGUGCCAACUGUCACAUGAUUCUGCUUGUAUUUUCAGUGAGGACUCAUCCAAACACCACAUCAUGAGGAAGACCCAAGAAGGAAAGGGCCACAGUCAUUUAUUAAAAUUUCCCACCCUUUCUUUUAGCCACUUGCCCGCAACUGUACAGAACUCAUAGCAAUUUCUUCAAUUAUGCCUUCCUAAUAACCAUUUAAGUGUAUGGGUGGUUUCACAAGCCUUCAUGUAUAACAGAGUAAUAAAGGCUACUAGUUAUAUUCCCUCCACCAAAGACUGCUGGCCAUACAAAUGUGAGGUGCUAUUCCUGUGUGGUAGAACUUUAAAUGGCACCAAGACAGUCUAGUUGAACAGCUUUUGAAGGAUCCAGCAUAUGCCCUUCAGCAAGAUAGACAGUUUCAACAUUUGUAACUUCCCAUUUAGAGCCACAGUAGAAAUUGUAAAUUUUUUGGGGGGGUUGGCAAUGAAAGAACGUAUAUAUGGUAACCAAAUCUGUGGGUUAAACAACAAAAGUGUUCAGAAAAAGUGCUAACAGAUUAUUUCACAAAACCAAAUUCUAUGCAAAGCUUGACUGGUAUUCAAAACUGAAGCUAACGUUUUCCGGGUCUAGAAGUAGGCCUCUGUCUCAUAGAUAAGCUGUGUCAUUAGGGGAAAACCCUCACAAACCCCGACAGCCUCAGGAGCCAAAGACUCAACCAGUAUGUGGGGCAACAGGGACAUCCAUCAGAAGAGCCUGCUACACCAGAAACCACCGCUGUCCGACAGAAGACAAGCUGUAUGGAGCAGUGGGUCUGGGCUGAGGAAGGGAGAACUCACCUUUUCUUCAAUAGGGCAUUUUUCCUUGAGCCAGUGAUUCAGGACUUCAUCUUUGAAUGCCCCCGUGUUACCCACCGUGCUCUGCUGAAUUUGAGCAAUCGUCGUGGCGUCCUUCACAAUCUCUAUCAUCCCUGUGUGAAGAGACAGAAUUCUGAGGUGGCUGAUCCUGCUAAGUCUUGGCCGAGUGAAGAACAGAAAGGUUUUUAUUAGGCCAAAGAUCUGUUUUCCAGGUCUGAGCUAUUUUGUUGUUGUUUGCUUGCUUGCCUUUAGGGAAGAAAAUAUCAGUAAAGCUCCAGAACUUGCCAAGGACACUCUCUCAAUAGCCCUGACUAAGGAGAGGAAAGGGCUGCUUUGGGGGAGUGACAAAUAAAGUCAUUUAUGUGCCAAGCUUAGCCUUCCUUGCUCAGAGAUUGGAACUUUUCCUUUACAGGUAACAAGGCCAAAUGUUUUCUACAUUUCUCAUAUCAGAACCUUGAAUAAAAAUAAGCGUGAUUAAAACUAAAAUGUUAAAUGCC
RNA transcript from Rattus norvegicus (Norway rat), 2977 nucleotides. RefSeq lists it as uncharacterized. The record is from RefSeq and is a predicted model, not a curated record. Lineage: Eukaryota; Metazoa; Chordata; Mammalia; Rodentia; Muridae.